This 278-nucleotide ribosomal RNA is filed under the name uncultured bacterium. RNAcentral's name for it is "partial 16S ribosomal RNA". It matches the Rfam family "Bacterial small subunit ribosomal RNA", at positions 29 to 334 of the family's 1533-position model. The record is from RNAcentral.
AACGAACGCUGGCGGCACGCCUAACACAUGCAAGUCGAACGUUCCCUUCGGGGAAAGUGGCGCACGGGUGGGUAACACGUGGGAACCUACCUUUUAGUACGGAAUAAUCAUUAGAAAUGAUGACUAAUACCGUAUAGUCCCUCCGGGGUAAAGAUUUAUCGCUAAAAGAUGGGCCCGCGCUAGAUUAGUUAGUUGGUGAGGUAAUGGCUCACCAAGACUACGAUCUAUAGCUGUUCUGAGAGGAAGAUCAGCCACACUGGUACUGAGACACGGACCAG